RNAcentral lists this ribosomal RNA (402 nucleotides) under uncultured bacterium. Its description in RNAcentral is "bacterial SSU rRNA". It matches the Rfam family "Bacterial small subunit ribosomal RNA", at positions 29 to 415 of the family's 1533-position model. The record is from RNAcentral.
AACGAACGCUGGCGGCGGGGUUUAGGCAUGCAAGUCGAGCGAGAAAGUCUUCGGACGAGUAAAGCGGCGUAAGGGUGAGUAAUAGGUAGUCAACGUAUCCACGAGACGCGAAUAAUUCCCCGAAAGGGGUUGUAAUGCGCGAUGAGACCACAGUUCCCACGGGGAUCGAGGUCAAAGGUUCGGGAUCCUUCGGGACCGAGCGGCUCAUGGAGCGGACGACCUCCGAUUAGCUAGAUGGCGGGGUAACGGCCCACCAUGGCGAUGAUCGGUAGCCGGCCUGAGAGGGUGUUCGGCCACACUGGGACUGAGACACUGCCCAGGACUCCUACGGGAGGCUGCAGUCGCGAAUCAUUCACAAUGGACGCAAGUCUGAUGAUGCCACGCCGCGUGCGGGAUGGAAGG